GACAAAAAAUAUAGAUUUUCUUUUUCUCUCCACUUUCUCUUUGCCUUCAUUUCUGCGGAUGUCUAGCUAUUUGAGAAUCAAGCUUAGCUAUCACCAUCGCCCAAGCCGCCACACCAGAUCUAGCCAGUGGCACUGCUAGAUUUGAUCCCUUUGCCGCCCCUAAGGAGCGAAGGAGGCUGUGAAGCAAAGGUGGAAGCAAGGCGAGAGGUUGAGGAAUAUGGCCAUGGCUCCAGAUUUGGUGACAGAAGAAUAUGGCCACGAGCGACGAGGGUGGCUCUAUUUGUGAGUCGCGGUGAAGAGGGACAGGUGGCUUGGAGAUGGACCUUUUCGAUCUACCGAUGGACGAGCCUGAUCGCGAGCGACGACAAAGGGUGGCUUUGUUUGCGAGCCAGAGCAAGAAGGGAGGGGUGGCUUGGCUAUGGACCUCCAAAUCUAUUGACGGUCAAGCCUGAUUACAAGCAACGACGAAGGGGUGGGCGAAGAACAACCGUAGAUGGAGAUUCGUCGUGGCUUGGUCAUGGACGGCCAACGAUGUAACACAGCCGCAGCUAAGAUGGUGGCUUGACCAUGGACCCAUGGCUCCAGAUCUCGCCUCGUUGGUCAUGGACCAACGGCGACGAGGGAGGGGUGGCUCGGCCAUGGACCUCCCAAUCUACCGAUCGACGAGCCUGAUCGUGAGCAAUGAUAAAGGGGUGGGUAGAGAACGACCAUAGAUGGAGAUUCAUGGUGGUUCAGCCAUAGACGGCCAACAACUACGAGUAGCCGCAAUUGAGAUGAUGGCUCGGCUAUAGACCCAUGGCACCAGAUCUCGCCUCGUCGAUCCAACGACGUCACUAGCCAAAUCUAGUCUUCUCUCCUAAUCUUAACAUAGACACAUCUUAGAUGUUGUACGCACUCUUCUAACCUCAGCUAUUGUCCUAAUUGCUAAAUACAAUGUCAAUCAUACUUCGUCACAUCUUUACUUAUGAGCGCUUGUAUGAUAGUUUUUCUGAAUUAUAAUCUAUUUUCGAGUCUUCAAUAA
Syzygium oleosum is the source of this 1021-nucleotide long non-coding RNA. RefSeq lists it as uncharacterized. The transcript has 2 exons. Lineage: Eukaryota; Viridiplantae; Streptophyta; Magnoliopsida; Myrtales; Myrtaceae. The record is from RefSeq and is a predicted model, not a curated record.